GGGUUGUGAGGUUAAGCGACUAAGCGUACACGGUGGAUGCCCUGGCAGUCAGAGGCGAUGAAGGGCGUGCUAAUCUGCGAUAAGCGCCGGUAAGGUGAUAUGAACCGUUAUAACCGGCGAUACCCGAAUGGGGAAACCCAGUGUGACUCGUCACACUAUCAUUAACUGAAUCCAUAGGUUAAUGAGGCGAACCGGGGGAACUGAAACAUCUAAGUACCCCGAGGAAAAGAAAUCAACCGAGAUUCCCCCAGUAGCGGCGAGCGAACGGGGAGGAGCCCAGAGCCUGAAUCAGCAUGUGUGUUAGUGGAAGUGUCUGGAAAGGCGCGCGAUACAGGGUGACAGCCCCGUACACAAAAGCGCAUGUGCUGUGAGCUCGAUGAGUAGGGCGGGACACGUGGUAUCCUGUCUGAAUAUGGGGGGACCAUCCUCCAAGGCUAAAUACUCCUGACUGACCGAUAGUGAACCAGUACCGUGAGGGAAAGGCGAAAAGAACCCCGGCGAGGGGAGUGAAAAAGAACCUGAAACCGUGUACGUACAAGCAGUGGGAGCACAGGUUUACCUGUGUGACUGCGUACCUUUUGUAUAAUGGGUCAGCGACUUAUAUUCUGUAGCAAGGUUAACCGAAUAGGGGAGCCGGAGGGAAACCGAGUCUUAACCGGGCGUUAAGUUGCAGGGUAUAGACCCGAAACCCGGUGAUCUAGCCAUGGGCAGGUUGAAGGUUGGGUAACACUAACUGGAGGACCGAACCGACUAAUGUUGAAAAAUUAGCGGAUGACCUGUGGCUGGGGGUGAAAGGCCAAUCAAACCGGGAGAUAGCUGGUUCUCCCCGAAAGCUAUUUAGGUAGCGCCUCGUGAAUUCAUCUCCGGGGGUAGAGCACUGUUUCGGCUAGGGGGCCAUCCCGGCUUACCAACCCGAUGCAAACUGCGAAUACCGGAGAAUGUUAUCACGGGAGACACACGGCGGGUGCUAACGUCCGUCGUGAAGAGGGAAACAACCCAGACCGCCAGCUAAGGUCCCAAAGUCAUGGUUAAGUGGGAAACGAUGUGGGAAGGCCCAGACAGCCAGGAUGUUGGCUUAGAAGCAGCCAUCAUUUAAAGAAAGCGUAAUAGCUCACUGGUCGAGUCGGCCUGCGCGGAAGAUGUAACGGGGCUAAACCAUGCACCGAAGCUGCGGCAGCGAACGUAUCACUUAAAGCGAUUCAGCGGGUUACGAUUGACGGAGCGAAGCGACGUCAAAGCGUAUACAAAGUCGAGUCGGUUUAAGGAUACGUUCGUUGGGUAGGGGAGCGUUCUGUAAGCCUGUGAAGGUGGCCUGUGAGGG
This 1321-nucleotide ribosomal RNA is filed under the name Salmonella enterica subsp. enterica serovar Enteritidis. Its description in RNAcentral is "partial 23S ribosomal RNA". It matches the Rfam family "Bacterial large subunit ribosomal RNA", at positions 1 to 1269 of the family's 2925-position model. Lineage: Bacteria; Pseudomonadati; Pseudomonadota; Gammaproteobacteria; Enterobacterales; Enterobacteriaceae. The record is from RNAcentral.